GACUUUAGAUUGCGGAGUGUUUAACACGAAAGAUAAUUUCUUUUUUUUUUGUCGUCGUCUGCGAUUGGUGCGACGGCGUUGGGGGCGGGUUUUAGGAUAGGGAUUAGGGAGAGCAAGGUUAGUUAGCUCUCUGCGCGAUCGGAGGCGGGAGGUGGGUGUAGCGGGUCUAGCGAGGGGAGGUGGGGUGGAGGCGGAGCCUGUCGGAGUAUGAGAGAAACAGCGGCUCGUCCUACCAGUGGGGUGGCCGGUUGGGGCGAGGUAGCCGACUUAACCAACGGCCUCAUCGUGGCCGGCCAGCCUCUUGGACUACACCUAACCUUUUAGGGUGGGGUGGGGUAGAACUUUAGCUUCUGUUCGAGUGUUAGGGGAACAGGAGGACCAGUAGAAGCGGUCGAAACCCGGGCCAUGGAGGUCAGGUGGUGCGGCCUCCCGGCAGAGCCAACCCUUUGCUUCGGUGGUGUACAGCUGGUGACAUCUCAGCAGAGGUAGGGGGGAUUCCGUGACAGGAGCAUACUAGAUCUACAAAACACGGUGUACUACGGUUAGUACGUAGUAAGCAAAGACUUUGCGGAACCUAACUGGAUAGGGGUGUUACACUCGCCGCGGCUAAACUUCCGCGUUUCCUCCACGACCUCUGUACCCGCCUCUAUCACUACUUCCAGGAGGGGCCCCUACACGAAAGCCGCAUUAAACACACGAGGUCGAAGGCGUGGUAGUUUGGCUGGUCCUAUAGUGCUAUAGCGCCAAUGCACGACCGUUGUAACAGGAACGACAAAAGACGGUAGCGCUACCGCAGUUAAAAGUAAACCGUCAUAAAGCGACGACGGGUUUUGUUAUUGGAACGAAGGGUCGGUAGAAUCUGUACCUGGAACAUUGUGAAAAACAACAUUGAUUUAUUUAAAAACAACGACAUUGACAUAAUCCGAAAAUAACAUACCUUCUUAUAGGGAGAUAGAAACCAUCGUUUGAAAGUAAACAAACCUUUGUUACAUGUUAAAUACAGAGUCGCUUUUAUUUAAAUUAACAAUAGCUAUCUUCGUUUGAAUUC
This 1048-nucleotide ribosomal RNA is filed under the name Triticum aestivum (bread wheat). RNAcentral describes it as "partial small subunit ribosomal RNA". The record is from RNAcentral. Lineage: Eukaryota; Viridiplantae; Streptophyta; Magnoliopsida; Poales; Poaceae.